GACGAACGCUGGCGGCGUGCUUAACACAUGCAAGUCGAACGGAAAGGCCCUGCUUUUGUGGGGUGCUCGAGUGGCGAACGGGUGAGUAACACGUGAGUAACCUGCCCUUGACUUUGGGAUAACUUCAGGAAACUGGGGCUAAUACCGGAUAGGAGCUCCUGCUGCAUGGUGGGGGUUGGAAAGUUUCGGCGGUUGGGGAUGGACUCGCGGCUUAUCAGCUUGUUGGUGGGGUAGUGGCUUACCAAGGCUUUGACGGGUAGCCGACCUGAGAGGGUGACCGGCCACAUUGGGACUGAGAUACGGCCCAGACUCCUACGGGAGGCAGCAGUGGGGAAUAUUGCACAAUGGGCGGAAGCCUGAUGCAGCAACGCCGCGUGCGGGAUGACGGCCUUCGGGUUGUAAACCGCUUUCGCCUGUGACGAAGCGUGAGUGACGGUAAUGGGUAAAGAAGCACCGGCUAACUACGUGCCAGCAGCCGCGGUGAUACGUAGGGUGCGAGCGUUGUCCGGAUUUAUUGGGCGUAAAGGGCUCGUAGGUGGUUGAUCGCGUCGGAAGUGUAAUCUUGGGGCUUAACCCUGAGCGUGCUUUCGAUACGGGUUGACUUGAGGAAGGUAGGGGAGAAUGGAAUCCCUGGUGGAGCGGUGGAAUGCGCAGAUAUCAGGAGGAACACCAGUGGCGAAGGCGGUUCUCUGGGCCUUUCCUGACGCUGAGGAGCGAAAGCGUGGGGAGCGAACAGGCUUAGAUACCCUGGUAGUCCACGCUGUAAACGGUGGGUACUAGGUGUGGGGUCCAUUCCACGGGUUCCGUGCCGUAGCUAACGCUUUAAGUACCCCGCCUGGGGAGUACGGCCGCAAGGCUAAAACUCAAAGGAAUUGACGGGGCCCCGCACAAGCGGCGGAGCAUGCGGAUUAAUUCGAUGCAACGCGUAGAACCUUACCUGGGUUUGACAUGGAUCGGGGGUGCUCAGAGAUGGGUGUGCCUCUUUUGGGGUCGGUUCACAGGUGGUGCAUGGCUGUCGUCAGCUCGUGUCGUGAGAUGUUGGGUUAAGUCCCGCAACGAGCGCAACCCUUGUUCACUGUUGCCAGCACGUUAUGGUGGGGACUCAGUGGAGACCGCCGGGGUCAACUCGGAGGAAGGUGGGGAUGACGUCAAGUCAUCAUGCCCCUUAUGUCCAGGGCUUCACGCAUGCUACAAUGGCUGGUACAGAGAGUGGCGAGCCUGUGAGGGUGAGCGAAUCUCGGAAAGCCGGCCUCAGUUCGGAUUGGGGUCUGCAACUCGACCUCAUGAAGUCGGAGUCGCUAGUAAUCGCAGAUCAGCAACGCUGCGGUGAAUACGUUCCCGGGGCU
RNAcentral lists this ribosomal RNA (1346 nucleotides) under uncultured bacterium. Its description in RNAcentral is "bacterial SSU rRNA". It matches the Rfam family "Bacterial small subunit ribosomal RNA", at positions 28 to 1381 of the family's 1533-position model. The record is from RNAcentral.